UGAGGGAAAGUCCGGGCUUUCCGGAAAGACCACACUUGCUUGGAUAAACGUCCAGUUGCGCGCGAGCGUGAGGAUAGUGCCACAGAAAAAAUACCGCCCCCUUUUUUCAGUGAUUAGUAAACAGUAACGAAAGUAAAUUCACUGAUAANUAAUAACUUUCCACUGAUAACUGAUACCUGAUAACUGAUUGGGGGUAAGGGUGCAAAGGUGCGGUAAGAGCGCACCAGCAGUAUCGAGAGGUACUGGCUCGGUAAACCCCAGUGGGGAGCAAGGUGGAGGGACAAAGGUUGGUCUUUUUCCUGUCCCGUUUUUAGGAACCGCUUGAGGUAAUUGGUAACAAAUAUCCCAGAUAGAUAACCUCUAUUCCAACAAAGGUAAAAGCAAUUUUACUGCUGUUGGGAAAUACAGAAUCCGGCUUAC
This 420-nucleotide RNase P RNA is filed under the name Microcystis aeruginosa. RNAcentral describes it as "partial RNase P". It matches the Rfam family "Bacterial RNase P class A", at positions 41 to 352 of the family's 367-position model. Rfam says of the family: Ribonuclease P (RNase P) is a ubiquitous endoribonuclease, found in archaea, bacteria and eukarya as well as chloroplasts and mitochondria. The record is from RNAcentral. Lineage: Bacteria; Bacillati; Cyanobacteriota; Cyanophyceae; Chroococcales; Microcystaceae.